UUGUGCAGCCAAGGAAACAUCGGAAGGUUUCGACGACGUCGGUAUGAAAUGGCAGAAACUGCCUGUGUCACGGAAGCACUGAGAUUAGGUUACGUAGAAGAUACACAUGUAUGUUGCGGUGAUCCCGGCCUGCUAGUGUGAAGAAAACGACAGUGUAUCCGGACCUAACGAGGAUUAAAGAGCUGUUUUUCCUACUACUAACCGCCCAGGUUGUGUCUCCGGCGGCAGGCAGCGAGCGGCGACUGCGGGUCGACACUGUCGGAAUUAACCGGAGAGGGGUCUUGAGAGACAAGCUCCACUUGGAUGCCCAGGCACAGUGUUCGUCCAAGGCUUCACCAUGAACCGGAACAAGCGUGAAAAGGAGUACUACAGUAUAGAUGUGGGCGAUUCAACUUUUAUGGUUUUAAAGCGCUAUCAGAACCUCAGACCCAUCGGAUCUGGAGCACAGGGUAUUGUCUGUUCAGCGUACGACCACAACUUGGAGAGGAACGUCGCCAUCAAGAAGCUGAGCCGGCCCUUUCAGAAUCAAACUCAUGCAAAACGGGCCUACAGAGAACUGGUGCUCAUGAAAUGUGUCAACCACAAGAACAUAAUCGGCCUAUUAAAUGUAUUCACACCACAGAAGACACUGGAAGAAUUCCAAGAUGUCUAUCUAGUGAUGGAGCUGAUGGAUGCCAACCUCUGUCAGGUGAUUCAAAUGGAGCUGGACCACGAGAGGCUGUCCUACCUGCUCUACCAGAUGCUGUGUGGAAUCAAACACCUGCACGCUGCAGGCAUCAUACACAGGGACCUGAAACCCAGUAACAUUGUGGUGAAGUCUGACUGCACACUGAAGAUCCUGGACUUCGGCCUGGCCAGGACGGCCGCCACCGGUCUCCUCAUGACGCCCUACGUGGUGACCCGCUACUACCGCGCCCCCGAAGUCAUCCUGGGCAUGGGCUACCAGGCCAACGUUGAUGUCUGGUCUGUUGGCUGCAUCAUGGCUGAAAUGGUCCGGGGUAGUGUGUUGUUUCCAGGCACUGAUCAUAUCGACCAGUGGAACAAGGUGAUCGAGCAGCUGGGGACGCCGUCUCAGGAGUUCCUGACGAAGCUCAACCAGUCAGUGAGGACCUACGUGGAGAACCGGCCGCGGUACGCUGGCUACAGCUUCGAGAAGCUCUUCCCCGAUGUCCUGUUUCCUGCAGACUCUGAACACAACAAACUGAAAGCGAGCCAAGCCCGAGACUUACUAUCCAAGAUGCUGGUAAUAGAUGCGUCAAAGCGGAUCUCGGUGGACGAGGCUCUCCAGCACCCGUAUAUCAACGUGUGGUACGACCCGACUGAAGUGGAGGCACCGCCACCCGUGAUCACAGACAAGCAGCUGGAUGAGAGAGAGCACACAGUGGAGGAAUGGAAAGAGUUGAUAUAUAAAGAAGUGCUGGACUGGGAGGAGAGAACAAAGAAUGGAGUCAUCAGGGGACAGCCGGCGUCCAUAGGUAUACUGACAUCAGUGAGGAUUGGAGAGAACCGAAGACUGCGGCUUUGCCAUCAAAUGGACUUGGAAACCACGAGGAUGGUGACGAUAGAGGCACUGGAAGGGCCUGAGGACAAAGGAGGAUUUAGAGGCAGCUAUGGCAGAAGACCCAUCUGUUAAUGCUUCAGUUUUGGAAAAUCAAGUUUUCUUAAACCUGGCUGUUAUGACAUACAAAUUGGAUUCCACAGUAAAACAUUUAGCAAAAAGAAAAAUGCCUACAGUAUAAAUAUGGAGGACGAUAAAUGCAAGUGGAGGAACCUCUGCUAAAGCUUCCGCUGUUAAUAAAGAGUCAGUUCACCCAAAUGACAUAAAAUACUUACAACUAGUGGAUACUAUUACUUUCUGUUGUCCAGGUUUGAAGAUUACAGAGAAAAGUACACCAAUGGGAGUUUGUCCAUGACUACCGCUCAGUCUGAAUUCCACGUCUGGUGCUCACAGCGUUAAAACCACAUUCAAAAAAUGACUAUUUUACCUUUUGUAUUUUCAAAGCCUGGACAAAAAGAAAAUAACUUGCUAGCUUCCACUAAGGGCUGAACUGACCCUGCAGUGUAAGAAAUUGCUUGACAUUUUGGGAAGAAAAGUUAGCAUAGAAGUGAGCUAUGUUAGCUAAGAAGACUGACACCACUAAAUAUACUAAAGCUAGAGCCAGCUAGCUUGGGUUAACAUGAAGACUGUAACCUCCUGUAAAAAAGCACAUAUUGUAGUUUUCAGUUUUUGUAAGUACUAAGCCAAUGAGAUAUAACAUGCUAAUUAAUUUUCUUUGGAGGUGAUGGUGGGUAUUUUUACCGUCAUGCUGAGCUAGGCUAGCCUUUUCCUUCUCUUUGUGUUAAGCUAGGCUAACCAGUCGCAAGCUGUAGCUCCUUAUUUGACCUACAGACAUAAAAGUGGUAUCAAAUUUUUCAUCCAACAGUUUUUAAGGAAGCAAAUCAGCAUAUUUCCAAAAAUGUCAAACUAUUGCUUUGAGAUAAAUACCCCAUAAAGAUAAAUAUCAGUCAGGUGUCUGCAUUCAACAUUGACAUUUCUAACAAGUCUUACAGUUUCAGCACAAAAUCCAUUCACUUAGUGUCCUUGUAAAGUAGUGGUUGAAGAAGUCAGUGCUCUCCAUUAUAGAGAAUGUCAGGGAAAUUACAUUAUGUUCCACUAGUCAUGUUACAAGCACCUGAACUGUUUAAAAUACUGCCUUCACAAGGAUCAUCACAUCUUCUUAACGUUAACUUUCAAGCAUGCGUAAGAAAGUCUAAACUGUUCAUUGCUCAGUGGAGACCAUCCUGGUAAGGAUCACACACUCAGUACCAGUUUGACAUUUAAUUCCUUUAGAAUUCCCUCAGUCAUCUCUACAUUUUCAUUUCCUUCAAACUUGUCCUGAAUGUGCACAAAUGCGGUGUCUUUUAUUUUCUUGUUCAGCUCUUCUUUUGAAGGAAUGUCCUGAUGCACUGAGGAGGACACGAGCCCUUAAAAGACAACCAGGCCCUGAAAUAUAAACCUGGACCACGGCUACGGUGUUGGCCCCAGACAGAUGAGAGACCAUGCUGUUUCAAAUGUCACUAGUCCUCGCACCCAGGGCCAGAUCCCCCAGUGUGGAAAAGAAAUCCUCCAUUUCCUUCUCCAGCAGCCGGUUGCGGUUCUCGGCAUCCUCCCGUGCCCGCUCGGAGUUUCGUAGUUUGAUCUCCAGCAUACGUUGUUUCUUCCUCUCCUGCUCCAUCUCUUGUUCCAAACGCUCCAUCUGGGCACAGAGAGCAGCGCUGGACUCCUCCAGUCUGAAGGGAGGUAACACAAUACAGACAAAAAAAACCCCAUCAAUGACAUUUGUUGUUAUUCUUUAGACAGAAAUAAACCCUGCUGCCCUCACUGUCAGGUUUCUUUUUACAACCUCCUUAAGGAAGAUGGUGGAGGAAGGAAGGAAACGCCAUGUUUUGCAGCUAAAAAAACAUUUUUGCUUCUAGCAGGUCAUCUUUAUAGGUUUAAAAACAUCUGACAGCGGUGACUAACAGUUGUAGUACCAAGAAAGACAUUAAUGAUCAGUUUACUUGCCUAGAAGACACAGUGUGCUAAUACAGUUGUAUAUCUUCUGAGGCACUGCAGGAGCUUUAUAAAGUGUGUUCUCUCAGCUUGAGACACAUGCACAUUUUCAGGUUUAUAUUUUUGCACCAGGGUUGUGUUUGCAUCAUUGUCUUUGCAUGAUAUACAAUUUUAAAACAUGGCUUUUGUCUCCUGACGAUCUCCUGGUUCCCGAUUAGCACACUUGAAGACUUCCACCAACUAUAGCUGCUGUUAAGACAAAUGGUAGCUGGAUUUUACUUCUUUUUGUUGCUCUUCACUCAAAAUGCCUACCCUCUUAAUUACAUCCAUGCAUGUCCAGACCCAAGUCUGAUCCAAAAUAUACAAGUGGACGACCCCAACAACCCCUUAAAGUAUCAAUGCAACAAUCUUGGCAACAAAGAUGACAUGCAUAACUCCAUCUGUUGUCAGUUUGUAAUGGCUAGUGAAUAUAACACUGCAAGUGAGGUGCUCAGAGCAGGCUGAGGCCUUUGACUUGCAGGGAGCCUUUUUACAUUCAUUUUAAGUUUUGGAACUUUGACAAUGCAUAUCAGAUUUCUGACAUUAUACAAAUCUAGAAAUUACAGCAAAAUCUCAAAAACAAUGGCAUGUGCCUUUUAAAUUUCUGAACACAAAGCCCAUGUUUAGAAAUGAGCAUGCAAGAUUUGAAAUAUGGGUUUUUACCAAUCCUGAGAAGGUUUAACAAAAAGACUUUUUAGAAGUGCACCUUGUGAAAUGUAGGAUCUGGUGUUUUGGGAGCUUAGUCCAUCUGAGGACUAAAAUUAUAGGUAUAUUUGAUCUUAUAUAUUAUUCUAUAUUUGUAACUUCCCUCUCAUUGUGACACUAAAUCUAUAAACAUACCUUCAGUAGACAUUAUUGGACAACAAACACAAAGAGAAAAUCAACAUGCGUUUGGAAAAAUUUAAAAGACCCUUCCCUAUAGUCUUACUUUUGGAUCCUGGCCUCAUAUGAAGUCUUCUGUUUUCUCAACUCUUCCUUCAGUCCCUCCACCAGGCUACUUAGUGUUAGGUUUGUCCCAUCUCCAUCUUCAGACAUGAUGAUGGACGGCACCCCGGCAGCCAUGGCCACGUUUCCAUUCUCGCUGCAGACUGCACUGCUGCUGCACAGCUCCAUGGCCUCACAACUGUCCUGCUCAGAGCUCGGCUCCGUCGUCAUCCCUCCGUCCCUUCCUCUGUCAAUAUCUCUCUGGCCUUCCAUCCACUCCCCCUUUUCUCCACCCUCUACCGCACCUCGACAGUUCUGAUGUGGCGACGGCUCGCUUCCGGAGUCGGGGACGGAAAUUUCACAGGAGGACGUGGACCACGGUGUGCUGGAUACACUUGGAACGCUGCCCAUGCUGGAGGAAGAGGUGACAUUGUCAUAGGUGGAGAGCCUCUGAGACGAGCCGGUGGAGUCGCGGUCACGAGCAGAACGCUCACCUGAAGAUGUGCGCCGGUGUCCCCUCAAGGAGGACAAACCAUUCAUGAGCCAGUUACCUCCACUUCCACCUCCUCCACCACCCGAAGACACACUGGUUGCAUCUGCCACUGAGCCGCCACCGCUGCUCUGCUUAGCCUGCUGCUGGGAACGAGGUGCUGAGGAGCUUUUGAAUGAGUAUUUCCAGGAAGGUAUUGUCUUGGCUUGUUUGCUUGGGCUGACCACUGUCUCGCCCUUCCCUGAUGGAGACCCAAGUUUUGGUCCUGUGUUUGGAUUGGGGGUCUGGGUGGGAGUGACAGCUGCACACAGUUUGGCAUCUAGCGACGACGCGCUGCUGUGCAGUUCUUGAUCGGGGUUGGAGAUGGGGCAGGUCUGCAGGUCCUCUUCAGAGAUCCAAGCUCCCAAGCUGCGAUGUUGGAGCUGAUGCCCCUGGAUCGGGAGCUCAGUUUGGGGUAGAGCCGGCCCUUCCUGGUCCCUCCCUGAGUACAAACGGUUGUGUUCCCUAAUGAGGACAGUCAUCAGGUGCUGGACCAGAGAUGUACCUACACAAUAUGGACCACAGUCAGACAGGUUAUCAAGGUCGAAGGAUAUUUGGUCCAAAUACUGUGGCGAGGUUCUGGACACUCAUCUUGUUCUCAUUACAAUGGGACUGGACCUCAUCAAGGAAUCUACGAAGAGAUGAAAAAGUGACUCAAUUAAGGCUUGUCCCCGCAGUCGAAGGCCUCCUGCAGCUCUUUGACGAGGUUGGCCUGUCCCGGCAUCCUGAAGAGACCCUCCUCAUCCAGACCCCUCUCUCUGAUGAAGUCCACACACUGCUCCACCAGCAGAGGAGCCAGGCGGGGGCCAAACUUCUUCUCGUACUGCACCGUGUCCUCUAGACGCUGGCCAAAGAUCCCUGGAGACAGAAGGAGAAAACACACCAUGUCCAGAAGUUGGCGACAGAUCUAUUCCUGACCGACAACCGAGAGACACACACCUCCGGUCUGUGAAUCCGAGAGGGAGGCUGGAAAUACGACCGAGCCGGAGUGAGGUAACCGAGAGGAUAACGGAUCGCCAUCAUUUAGUUUAUUUACAUUAAAGGUUUGGCUUUACCUCCUCCAAACGGUGCCCAGAUGACCCGUCGUAUGGCCUUGACCCAGUCAUCCAUGUCAGUCUGGGAGUUUGCCAUGAGCAGGAAGGAUUCAUGGCUGAUGGGGGCCCGGUCCUUAUCUCCUGUUCCACCUGUAGAGACAAACAAGGGCAGAAAAGGAGAGCAUGGAAGAGCUUCCAGAAGUUCAGCAACAGAAUGUUUCCGACCUGGAUGCGUGCAACAUUGCCUGUGGGGUAAAUCGACGCAACUUUUACUUCUGGAACCAGCGAUGCCCCAUCCAGCUCCUCCCACUUUGUUCCUGCUCAUGUCCAGCUCAUCGACCUCACACAGCUUCUGGAGGCACUUUGGCACCGCAGCGAUCUCCUGAAAACUGAGGUUCAGCCGCCGUUUCCCAUCCACCGUCAGCUCCAUGCUGUUCUGAGCCAUUUUCAAGAGCUCGGGUCAGGAGAGCGAAGACCACAGAGGAGAUCUUCAUUUUCCAACGGCUGCAGCCUCCAUAAACUCCCAGUUAAAUGCCUCUGAAGAAAAGAAGCCCCAGGUUUCCUCCUCCUCUUCUUCUUCUUCUCUUUUUUUUUUUUCCCCCAGCUGAGGAGUGUAAUAUGAAACAUUGGACGCUCUGUUUCUACUCAGAACCUCCCCCCUGGCCCUCCCUCUAAUGUCACCCACAGUGAAAGCACGUUUGGUGAGCUCACGUGCACGCCCGCACACACACAUAAACACAUUCACGUGCACGCAGAGCAGGCAGAAACAGACAGGUGACUGAGGACACACACACACACACACACACACACACACACACACACACACACACACACAUGCACACGCCACCUCUGCUGCUGGUGAGGGAGUGGGAAAUGUAAUUUCCUGUGCAGGAUGGAGGGCGGGGAGGGGAGGGGUGUGCUGUCGAGAUUGACGCUGAGCAAAUCACACUUCCAGCUGUGGAGGACGGCGGGCGCAGACCUCAGCCGGGGCUUUUAUUUUGGAACACAUGCUGACACAGGGGGGAGGGGCUGCAGUGUGUUUGUGUGUGGGAGUCUCACAUCUUAUGGAGGUUAAUUCUGUAAUUGAAGUUAUUUACUCAAGUACUUCGCUCUGCUUUCUGAAUGAAAAACCCCACGGCUGACAUCGAGUCCAUGUGUGUCCGCAUCUAACUCCCAUCGUUUAUGUGUCGUGUAACCAGAUCCCACAGUGAAUCUUUGUUGCAGCAGUCUGUCGGCUCGUGGUUUUUGGGACACUUUUCUGGCUUUUAUCAAACCUCAGAGCAGCAGCGCACUUUUGAUUUACAGAUAAAGGAGGCUGACUGCUGGGGCCUCUUAAGUGCUCCUAGUCUGGCGACAGUUUGACUAACAUGGAUGUCUCCCCUUGACAAAGAGCCCCCCACUUCACCAAAGGUCUAUGACCGUCAGGGCAAAACGUUGUGGGGAUUCAUCAAAUUAGGGCUCAAAACUGUGUAGAAGAUCUUGCUCAAGCAUUUUCACUGUUUUUCAUCAGGAGCAACUCCUUCCUUAAGUAUGAACAUCAGAAAAAAAAAGUUGUUCUAUCAUGAAGCUUUAGUUUUCUAGUGAAAAACAAACUGUACAACAAUGAAAACAAAAUAUCUAACAAAUCAUCAUAAAGUUAAAAUGACCAGACAUAGUGUGACCUGGAGAAUCUGAUCCAGUUAUUCUCUCCUUUUACUUCUGUUUUGGUCUCCACCAACUAGGGUAAAACAAUAUGCAGAAAAGAAAAAACAUACUUCUGUUAGUUUUACAGAUAUUGUAAUGGUAAUAUGAGUCACAAUUAUAGUGGGAACCUGUCUGAGGGAUGUCUUUCCAUCUCUUCAGCACCACAGUGCUUCAUUUAAAAUGGCAUGUUGGGACACAUUCUGCCUUCACCAAAAGCAGCUCCUGCGAUUUGGAAAUUCCAUUUCUUUAUAAUGCAGUUGCGACAUUAUCCAUCCAUCCAUUAUCUAUACACCGCUUAAUCCUCAUUAGGGUCACAUUUUGGCUGGAGUCAAUCCCAGUUGACUUAGGGUGAAGGCAGGGGACAUCCUUUACAGGUCACCAGUCUAUCACAGGGCUACACAUAGAGACAAACAAUAACACUCACAUUCACACCUACGGACAAUUUAGAAUCACCAGUUAACUUCAGCAUGUCCUUGGAAUGUAGGAGGGAGAUGGAAUACCCAGAGAAAACCCACAUAUGCACAGGGAGAACAUGCAAACUCCACACAGAAAGAUCCUGGGAAGGCCGGGAUGCGAACCGGGGACCUGCAAGGCGAACGUGCUAACCACCAACCAUUGUGCAGCCCCAAUAGCAACAUUUAUUUUGAAUAAUCAUUGAACCCUACCACCGACUCCGAAGUAAAUUACCUAGCCAACUUGCUGUGAUGAUAUUUUUGUCCCCAGCCUGUUGCUAACUUUGUGUCUUUUCAAGUUUGUGGGUUGUAAAACAAAAACAAUGAGCUACAAGAGAGUGUUAGGAUUUUUUUAAAGAUACUACUAACUCAACACUGAAAUUGAUAUCACAUAUGAGUGUUACAAUAUUGAUAAUAACCAUUUAAUGUGAAAUGAAUGCAUGAGUUGUGCUUAACCUUUAAAAGGGAAGAGCUGGAGCUAAGCACUAACUCCAAGGAAAGAUAGAGUUUUGGCUUUGAUACAGAUCACAUUCCUAUUUCCUUACAAGGUAACAACUAAUUGUACUGAAACUGCUAAACUCAAGGCUGUUUAAGGGUGGAAACCAUAAUAAUCCUCCUCAUGAGAUACCAUCAGUGGCUGCAUCACAUCACAGGAAUAGACGAACAGGUAGAGAGUGGGAAGAAGUUUGCAGGAGGUUCUUCUUACAGGGUGUGCCUCCUGGGGAUUGGAUGAAUCGUGUGCCAAGAGAUAUGGACAUAUCUGUGCGCCAACUAGUGGGAGAGCUAAGUCUACACCACGGUUUAUCCCCACCUUUAGCCAAUCACAUUUCAAUAUCUGAAUUAUGUGUUUGUGUUCUAUAGCCAAUCACAUUUCACCAUACUGACUAAAACGUUCUGUUCAUAUCAGACUAUAUCCUUUUCUGGGAGGCUGUUCCAAACAGAAAAGGUCCUCAUACAAGAUUCUUUUGAGACACUGAUAUUUACAACAUAAACAGCUUAAUUGGAGAGAAGUAGUUUGUGUUCUACCUCAAAAAACUAACACGCUCAACAAGGAGCUGCUCUUAAUUUUGUAAGUAAGUUUGCUAAUAUAAUCAUAAAUAGUUAUUUUUUUCAACAGAAACAAACUGAAAACACAAAACUGUUGUCUAUUUAUACACCUAACAUACAUUAAAAGCCCAAUUUUCACUCUCCGCUAACUUCAUUUUUAGUCUUCAUCACUUCCUAAGGGAAAUAAUUGUCUAUUUAGCUGCUGAAUUUUCAAGUAAGACGACCAGUCAAGUCUGAACUGCAGCUGUUUGGUGUUAAGCAGAUAUAUAGUUUAUCAGAGAUGUUUGGAUCUUUAAAGAUACAUUUACAUCGGCUAGAAAUGAUGUAGAUGAGAGCUGUGAGACUCAACCAAAACAGGCAAUAAAACUGAAACACUGGGCUCAAAGCUGCUAAAAUGUCCUGAAAAGCUGACCAAAACUGAAGUGUUGGAUGCUUAUUCAUUACUACAAAUGACCCCUUUUCAGAUAUCACGCAUUGAUUCAUUGUUGAUAUGAAUAUACUGAUUCUUGCAGCUUUAAUAAUUUCUUUUUAGUCAACAAACAGAAAGUAAACAUGGCUUCUACAGCUCUAGAUAUUGUCCAGUUCUGUUCACUGAUAAUGGAAGUGCUUAAAUCAGCCAUGUUCUCACAGUGAUGCAGAUUUCUCUACAGUUUUCAUCUGGAGGAAAAGAAAGUGCAGAUAUAGUUCAACAACUGUGUAGUAAACUGUGAGACUUCAACAAUGACCACAUCUGCUAGUUAUUAUUCCAUGUUUGCGUGCAGGAUUACCAGGAUAUUAGAGAGAGUUUUUAUUGGUUCUUCUUCAUCCGUCUCUGGCCUGGAAAAGGGAGUCAUUCAAACUUGGCAAAGCACUCCGACUCUUAAUUAGAUUGAUAUAGAUCAUAUGUUGUGGAGGUGUAACUGUGCCAGAAUAUUGUGUUUACUGCCUGAGCACUAUAGUGGCUGCAGUACAGCUUCUUUUUGAACACAUUUUUGGCUGUAACUCAAGAAGUAAUACACUGAUAAUGUCAACAUUUCACACAAAUGUCGACCAGGAUGAAAUGCUGAAGGGAUGAUAUUUCAUAUCCAAAAGACCUGACUUUAUAGUGACAAUAUGAUGCUCUGGAAAAUCACUGUUCUGGCUAUUAUUCAUUGGAACAGAAAGAGAGACUGUGAUCAUAUUUCACAUUUGGUCACAUACUGAGUUAGUUAUACUAAUCUAUACUAGUUUUUUGGGGGGAUGAAUUGUGUUUUGACAGAAAAGUUAAGACUUAGCAAUAAAUACGGGUUCAAAAAGCUACUAAAAUAUAAAGUAAAAGUUAGUGGAUGGGAAUGUCCUUUUUUAAAAUGUCUUUUUUGUGAUUUUUUUUUGUGAAUUGUGAAUUUCCUGCCACAAGCAGUAACGCUGUUCAAUGCAUCAGCCCUGGCUGGCAGAGAGCUCUCCGUCCUCUCUGCCUUGUCUUUUUACAGUGCUGUAAUUUGAAAUUGCACACUUUUUUAUACUCUUGCACUCGUGGUCACUAUUUGCACUAUGGACUCUAACAUUUGCAAAUCCUUUACAUAGGAGAUUUUGCUUUUUUAUGUUAUUCUUAUUGUUUAUUUUUUAUAUAUGGCACAUUUUUACAUAUUUAUCUGUACUUAUGAAGGUGGAAACUGUUCUUUUUCUUCUGCAGCAAACAAAUUUACGCUUGGGAAUUAAUAAAAUAUUUCUGUUCUAUGUCUUCA
This is an RNA transcript of Amphiprion ocellaris (clown anemonefish), 10943 nucleotides long. It is a transcript of the gene named mitogen-activated protein kinase 8b, with no coding region annotated. The record is from RefSeq and is a predicted model, not a curated record. NCBI's taxonomy places the organism in Eukaryota, Metazoa, Chordata, Actinopteri, Pomacentridae. The transcript has 19 exons.